Molecule: long non-coding RNA, 145 nt
Organism: Lolium rigidum
Lineage: Eukaryota; Viridiplantae; Streptophyta; Magnoliopsida; Poales; Poaceae
Exons: 3
Source: RefSeq, a predicted model, not a curated record
UGGUGCCAGACCAGAAAAACUUUGAUAAUACAGGUUCUGAAAUUAAUAUCGGUUAUGCAUGUGUGACGCACAGCUGGCGCUUCUCCUCCAAGUUGUGGUUUUAUGUUGGUGCCUCGCCAUGUAACAGCCCAGAGAUAAGAAGACG